AUCUCUCACUGGACAUCCCAGCACAACGAAAUGCGUCAAAAGUUCGACUUUCCGAUUGUUUAAGCACAUUUUUCAAGUUAGAAAUGCUGGAAAAAGGCGAAAAACCGGAAUGCGCCAAGUGUAAAACGAAACAAACGUGCUCAAAGCAAAUGUUUAUUAGGAAAUUGCCACAGGUAGCCGGGAAAAGUGGCAAAAAUGACAUUUUUGCCCAUUUUUAACGGAAUUUUACAUGAAAAAUUACUGAAAAUCGCUGAAAAUCGCUGAAAAACGUCGAAAUUCCAAAUUUUUAGCUUGAAAAAUGGCAAAAAUCUGAGAAAUACGGCAUUUUUGUCGAUUUUUUACCCUAUUUUUCAUGAAAAACGACUGAAAAACGUCGAUUUUUAGCCAAGUUUGGGCUAAAAUCGCUGAAAUUCCCAAUUUUUUGCCGGAAAAAAGGCAAAAAUCGGAGAGAUUUCCAGCCGGAAAUGUAGCAAAAAUCUGAGAAAAAGCUGAUUUUCAGGCAUUUUCCGACUGAAAAACCAUGGAAAUUGAGAAAAUUAGCCGUUUUUAUCGAAAUUUCUGAUGAAAAAUCGAGAAAAGUGGCCGAAAAACGCUGAAAAUCCCGAUUUUUUCGAGUUUUCACCAAUUUUCUGUCCAAAAAUGCAAAAAUUCCUAAUUUUCUAGAUUUUUUCACCGGAAAAAAACUAGAAAAUCCAGGUUUUCAACCAAAAAAUUGCUAGAAAUUGACGAUUUUUGAGCAAAUUUCUAGAAAAAAGUCUCAAAAAAUCCAUUUUUUCGAUCAAAAAUUACUGAAAUCAUGAGAAUUUUCAGUUUUUCUAUCUAAAUUUUGAAUAUUUUCAGGUUCUCUGCCUCCAUAUGAAGCGAUUUCGGGAUAAUGGUGGAAAAAAUGAUGCGAUUAUCGAUUUUCCGAUGGGACAACUCGAUGUUACGCAAUUUUUGACCGAUG
RNAcentral lists this small RNA (946 nucleotides) under Caenorhabditis elegans. RNAcentral's name for it is "Unclassified non-coding RNA Y71A12B.35". The record is from RNAcentral. Lineage: Eukaryota; Metazoa; Nematoda; Chromadorea; Rhabditida; Rhabditidae.